RNAcentral lists this ribosomal RNA (1033 nucleotides) under uncultured Burkholderia sp. RNAcentral describes it as "bacterial SSU rRNA". It matches the Rfam family "Bacterial small subunit ribosomal RNA", at positions 359 to 1391 of the family's 1533-position model. The record is from RNAcentral. Lineage: Bacteria; Pseudomonadati; Pseudomonadota; Betaproteobacteria; Burkholderiales; Burkholderiaceae.
GAAUUUUGGACAAUGGGCGAAAGCCUGAUCCAGCAAUGCCGCGUGUGUGAAGAAGGCCUUCGGGUUGUAAAGCACUUUUGUCCGGAAAGAAAUCCUUGGCUCUAAUACAGUCGGGGGAUGACGGUACCGGAAGAAUAAGCACCGGCUAACUACGUGCCAGCAGCCGCGGUAAUACGUAGGGUGCGAGCGUUAAUCGGAAUUACUGGGCGUAAAGCGUGCGCAGGCGGUUUGCUAAGACCGAUGUGAAAUCCCCGGGCUCAACCUGGGAACUGCAUUGGUGACUGGCAGGCUAGAGUAUGGCAGAGGGGGGUAGAAUUCCACGUGUAGCAGUGAAAUGCGUAGAGAGGUGGAGGAAUACCGAUGGCGAAGGCAGCCCCCUGGGCCAAUACUGACGCUCAUGCACGAAAGCGUGGGGAGCAAACAGGAUUAGAUACCCUGGUAGUCCACGCCCUAAACGAUGUCAACUAGUUGUUGGGGAUUCAUUUCCUUAGUAACGUAGCUAACGCGUGAAGUUGACCGCCUGGGGAGUACGGUCGCAAGAUUAAAACUCAAAGGAAUUGACGGGGACCCGCACAAGCGGUGGAUGAUGUGGAUUAAUUCGAUGCAACGCGAAAAACCUUACCUACCCUUGACAUGGUCGGAAUCCCGCCGAGAGGUGGGAGUGCUCGAAAGAGAACCGGCGCACAGGUGCUGCAUGGCUGUCGUCAGCUCGUGUCGUGAGAUGUUGGGUUAAGUCCCGCAACGAGCGCAACCCUUGUCCUUAGUUGCUACGCAAGAGCACUCUAAGGAGACUGCCGGUGACAAACCGGAGGAAGGUGGGGAUGACGUCAAGUCCUCAUGGCCCUUAUGGGUAGGGCUUCACACGUCAUACAAUGGUCGGAACAGAGGGUUGCCAACCCGCGAGGGGGAGCUAAUCCCAGAAAACCGAUCGUAGUCCGGAUUGCACUCUGCAACUCGAGUGCAUGAAGCUGGAAUCGCUAGUAAUCGCGGAUCAGCAUGCCGCGGUAGAACGUUCCCGGGCCUUGUACACACC